This 218-nucleotide ribosomal RNA is filed under the name uncultured bacterium. RNAcentral's name for it is "partial 16S ribosomal RNA". It matches the Rfam family "Bacterial small subunit ribosomal RNA", at positions 30 to 244 of the family's 1533-position model. The record is from RNAcentral.
AUUGAACGCUGGCGGCAGGCCUAACACAUGCAAGUCGAGCGGUAACAGGGGAAGCUUGCUUCCCGCUGACGAGCGGCGGACGGGUGAGUAAUGUAUGGGGAUCUGCCCGAUAGAGGGGAAUAACUACUGGAAACGGUAGCUAAUACCGCAUAAUCUCUCAGGAGCAAAGCAGGGGAACUUCGGUCCUUGCGCUAUCGGAUGAACCCAUAUGGGAUUAG